RNAcentral lists this ribosomal RNA (253 nucleotides) under uncultured bacterium. RNAcentral's name for it is "partial 16S ribosomal RNA". It matches the Rfam family "Bacterial small subunit ribosomal RNA", at positions 524 to 776 of the family's 1533-position model. The record is from RNAcentral.
UACGUAGGGUGCAAGCGUUGUCCGGAAUUAUUGGGCGUAAAGAGCUCGUAGGCGGCUUGUCGCGUCGGCUGUGAAAACUCGGGGCUCAACCCCGAGCCUGCAGUCGAUACGGGCAGGCUAGAGUCCGGCAGGGGAGACUGGAAUUCCUGGUGUAGCGGUGAAAUGCGCAGAUAUCAGGAGGAACACCGGUGGCGAAGGCGGGUCUCUGGGCCACUACUGACGCUGAGAAGCGAAAGCAUGGGGAGCGAACAGG